Molecule: long non-coding RNA, 989 nt
Organism: Mus musculus (house mouse)
Lineage: Eukaryota; Metazoa; Chordata; Mammalia; Rodentia; Muridae
Product: predicted gene, 41970
Exons: 2
Source: RefSeq, a predicted model, not a curated record
AAUUGCAGUCCUUGAUACAUUUAAUAAAGAUUUAUGGACACUGCAAAACAACAUUCUCUCAAGUAGUUAGAAAAAGCAUGUACACUCAUUUCUGUCUCUUUUUUAGGUCUUUCUUUAAAAGUGGUGUCUCUUCAGCCCUAUUUUACCUUUCAAACAGUAGAAAGUAUGCAUAUAUGUUGCAUAUAUAAUCAUCUCCAUCUGUUUUAUCUUUCAGAUGGUAGAAGCAUGCAGAACUUUCUCUGAGGGAUGAAGUUGAAAACUGGAGGAUGAGAAAGCCUUGGAGCUUAAAAACAAAAAACAACAAACAAACAACAACAACAAAAGCAAACAAAUAAAACUCCAAACAGGAACUGGAACCACCACUAAUGAAACACAGCCCCAAGACACUUGAUACAAAGACACUUGAUACAAAGACACUUGAUGCAAAGAGGAAGCCAUCACCUGCAAGCCCAGGCCAUCCUUUUCUUGCUUACAGAAGGGACACUAAACCCGAGCAAGACUGGAGCACCGUUAUCUUUCACUGUUUCUGAACAGCAGGAAGAUAUGGCAAGGUCUCGUCACUGCCCUUUGAAGCCCUCCAGCAACCUUCAGUGUAAGUUAUGGUGGCUACUGUGUUGUCCAUGUAGCCACAGUGAUAACGGAUGUAAGUUCAACCGGAAUCUCACCUGUCUUCAUCCCACGCCUUGUUCUAUCCUUUGACUCACUGUGUGAGCAUGGACAAAUUUGUUAACUUGAGACCCUCCCCUUACUCAGUUGUGAAGCUUGAAUAAUGCCAACCCCAUAGAGGUCUAAGCAUGAGAGAAAAAAAACACUUGAUUACAUUUGAAAAAGCUCCAAAAAGAUGUGGCCACAUCAAAUGAGAAUAGCUAUUCAAUAACCUCUAUAUGCUACAUGUUUUGUAUAAUUAUUAUCACUGAAUUGUAUUCCCAUCUCUGUGUUCAUAUAUCUAUUGAUACAUUUAUUCAAUAAAAUCUUAUUUGCAAACAGCA